Long non-coding RNA from Poecilia latipinna (sailfin molly), 342 nucleotides. RefSeq lists it as uncharacterized. The transcript is spliced from 3 exons. NCBI's taxonomy places the organism in Eukaryota, Metazoa, Chordata, Actinopteri, Cyprinodontiformes, Poeciliidae. The record is from RefSeq and is a predicted model, not a curated record.
AGCACAUCUGCUUCCAAAAUUUGCUGUGCCCUCUACAAAUGGAGCUUUUUAUGGCUUUCGACAAUGGUUUUUCCUUUUGCAUGAAGAUCAGAUUUUAUUUUAUGUUUUUUGCAUGGUAGUUUUCUAAAGUUAUGGGUCUCUGCAAUUCCUUCUGAGUUACUUUAAGGCUCUCUGUUGCCUCUAUUCAUAAUGUCCUUGUUACCAGGACUGUUAGAUUGAGUGGGUGAGAGCUGUCUUUUACUUCUACUUGAUUCAUGACUGAACCGUCCUCUUUGAGAUGUGCAGCGCAUGGGAAAACAUAACCUGAAACUCCUAUAAACUUCUUACUAGCUUCUUUCUUGA